Molecule: long non-coding RNA, 350 nt
Filed under: Gossypium raimondii (Peruvian cotton)
Lineage: Eukaryota; Viridiplantae; Streptophyta; Magnoliopsida; Malvales; Malvaceae
Description: long non-coding RNA (GRAI_LNC010530)
Source: RNAcentral
GUUUGUUUUGUAUUAGUUUAAUCUGGGGUCUUGACUUUGAGUCUUCAUGUGUGUUAGUGGUAAAUUAUUUUUGCACCUUUUAUUUGUUUGGAGUUAAAGAUAGUUAUUAAUUUUAACUUUAUUUUUUGUUAUUUGGAUUGGUUUGUUUUGGUUUUUAUUUUUUUAUUUGGAAAAAAGGGAAGUUUUUACAUGCCCUCUUCUGUUUUCUUCCUCUUCUUUUUUGGUUUUUUUCCAAUCGAGAGAUUUUCUUUUCUUUCUCUCCCUCUACUGGUUCCCCAAUUAAUUUUGGGUAUAUCAUCAUUGCUGUGACCAGUGAGUCUAUGUGUUGGCUAAGGGAGCGAAUCGAAUGA